GUGCCAGCCGCCGCGGUAAUACGUAGGGGGCAAGCGUUGUCCGGAUUCACUGGGCGUAAAGCGCGCGCAGGCGGUGAUGUAAGUCUGAGGUGAAAACCCGAAGCUCAACUUCGGGACUGCCUUGGAUACUGCGUCACUUGAGGAUAGGAGAGGCAAGGGGAAUUCCACGUGUAGCGGUGAAAUGCGUAGAGAUGUGGAGGAACACCUGUGGCGAAGGCGCCUUGCUGGCCUAUUUCUGACGCUGAGGCGCGAAAGCGUGGGGAGCAAACAGGAUUAGAUACCCUGGUAGUCCACGCUGUAAACGAUGAGUGCUAGGUGUAGGUGGGCUCAUACCCAUCUGUGCCGAAGCUAACGCAUUAAGCACUCCGCCUGGGGAGUACGGUCGCAAGACUGAAACUCAAAGGAAUUGACGGGGGCCCGCACAAGCAGUGGAGCAUGUGGUUUAAUUCGAAGCAAUGCGAAGAACCUUACCAGGACUUGACAUCCCAUAGACCAGUCUAGAGAUAGACUUUCCCUUCGGGGCUGUGGUGACAGGUGGUGCAUGGUUGUCGUCAGCUCGUGUCGUGAGAUGUUGGGUUAAGUCCCGCAACGAGCGCAACCCUUACUUUGUGUUGCCAGCAUUCAGUUGGGCACUCACAAGGGACUGCCGCCGAUAAGGCGGAGGAAGGUGGGGAUGACGUCAAAUCAUCAUGCCCCUUAUGUCCUGGGCUACACACGUGCUACAAUGGGCGGUACAACGGGAUGCGAAGCCGCGAGGUGGAGCCAAACCCUGAAAACCGUUCGUAGUUCGGAUGGUAGCUGCACUCGCUACAUGAAGCUGAUGCUAGUAUCGCGGAUCAACACGCCGCGGGUGAUCGGUUCCCG
This 864-nucleotide ribosomal RNA is filed under the name uncultured bacterium. RNAcentral's name for it is "bacterial SSU rRNA". It matches the Rfam family "Bacterial small subunit ribosomal RNA", at positions 505 to 1376 of the family's 1533-position model. The record is from RNAcentral.